UACAGAGGUCCCAAGCGUUGUUCGGAUUCACUGGGCGUAAAGGGUGCGUAGGCGGUCGGGUAAGUCUGCUGUGAAAUCCCCGAGCUCAACUUGGGAAUUGCAGUGGAUACUGGCAGGCUGGAGUAUGGUAGAGGAAGGUGGAAUUCCCGGUGUAGCAGUGAAAUGCGUAGAGAUCGGGAGGAACACCAGUGGCGAAGGCGGCUCACUGGCCCGAUACUGACGCUGAGGUGCGAAAGCGUGGGGAGCAAACAGG
This 253-nucleotide ribosomal RNA is filed under the name uncultured bacterium. RNAcentral's name for it is "partial 16S ribosomal RNA". It matches the Rfam family "Bacterial small subunit ribosomal RNA", at positions 524 to 776 of the family's 1533-position model. The record is from RNAcentral.